This 426-nucleotide ribosomal RNA is filed under the name uncultured Caryophanaceae bacterium. Its description in RNAcentral is "bacterial SSU rRNA". It matches the Rfam family "Bacterial small subunit ribosomal RNA", at positions 356 to 774 of the family's 1533-position model. Lineage: Bacteria; Bacillati; Bacillota; Bacilli; Caryophanales; Caryophanaceae. The record is from RNAcentral.
GGGGAAUAUUGGACAAUGGGCGAAAGCCUGAUCCAGCCAUGCCGCGUGUGUGAAGAAGGUCUUCGGAUUGUAAAGCACUUUAAGUUGGGAGGAAGAGCAGUUACCUAAUACGUGAUUGUUUUGACGGUACCUUAUUAGAAAGCCACGGCUAACUACGUGCCAGCAGCCGCGGUAAUACGUAGGUGGCAAGCGUUGUCCGGAAUUAUUGGGCGUAAAGCGCGCGCAGGUGGUUUCUUAAGUCUGAUGUGAAAGCCCACGGCUUAACCGUGGAGGGUCAUUGGAAACUGGGAGACUUGAGUGCAGAAGAGGAAAGUGGAAUUCCAAGUGUAGCGGUGAAAUGCGUAGAGAUUUGGAGGAACACCAGUGGCGAAGGCGACUUUCUGGUCUGCAACUGACGCUGAGGCGCGAAAGCAUGGGGAGCAAACA